Molecule: ribosomal RNA, 254 nt
Filed under: uncultured bacterium
Lineage: Bacteria
Description: partial 16S ribosomal RNA
Rfam family: Bacterial small subunit ribosomal RNA
Source: RNAcentral
CACGUAGGCACCAAGCGUUGUCCGGAUUUAUUGGGCGUAAAGAGCUCGUAGGCGGUUCGGUAAGUCGGGUGUGAAAACUCUGGGCUCAACCCAGAGCCGCCACCUGAUACUGCUGUGACUAGAGUGCGGUAGGGGAGCGGGGAAUUCCUGGUGUAGCGGUGAAAUGCGCAGAUAUCAGGAGGAACACCAAUUGCGAAGGCAGCUCGCUGGGACGUUACUGACGCUGAGACGCGAAAGCGUGGGGAGCAAACAGG